AGCAGCCGCGGUAAUUCCAGCUCCAAUAGCGUAUAUUAAAGUUGUUGCAGUUAAAAAGCUCGUAGUUGAAUUUCGGAAUCUGUCCGUUGGUCGGGCUUAACUGUCCGUACUGAUGUGAUGGGUUCUUACCUUCUGAAUAACCAUCAUGCCAUUAAUUUGGUGUGUUGGGGAAGCAGGACUAUUACCUUGAAAAAAUUAGAGUGCUCAAAGCAGGCUAGUGCCUGAAUACAUUAGCAUGGAAUAAUAAAAUAGGACGGCAUGGUUCUAUUUUGUUGGUUUCUAGGAUCACCGUAAUGAUUAAUAGGGAUAGUUGGGGGCAUUAGUAUUCAAUUGUCAGAGGUGAAAUUCUUGGAUUUAUUGAAGACUAACUUCUGCGAAAGCAUUUGCCAAGGAUGUUUUCAUUAAUCAAGAACGAAAGUUAGGGGAUCGAAGACGAUCAGAUACCGUCGUAGUCUUAACCAUAAACUAUGCCGACUAGGGAUCGGACGAUGUUAAUUUAUAAUGACUCGUUCGGCG
RNAcentral lists this ribosomal RNA (516 nucleotides) under uncultured Glomeromycotina. RNAcentral describes it as "SSU rRNA". It matches the Rfam family "Eukaryotic small subunit ribosomal RNA", at positions 569 to 1085 of the family's 1831-position model. The record is from RNAcentral. Lineage: Eukaryota; Fungi; Glomeromycota.